This 274-nucleotide ribosomal RNA is filed under the name uncultured bacterium. Its description in RNAcentral is "partial 16S ribosomal RNA". It matches the Rfam family "Bacterial small subunit ribosomal RNA", at positions 523 to 796 of the family's 1533-position model. The record is from RNAcentral.
AUACGGAGGGUGCAAGCGUUAAUCGGAAUUACUGGGCGUAAAGCGCGCGUAGGCGGUUUGAUAAGUCGGAUGUGAAAUCCCCGGGCUCAACCUGGGAAUUGCAUUCGAUACUGUCAGGCUAGAGUGUGGGAGAGGGAAGUGGAAUUUCCGGUGUAGCGGUGAAAUGCGUAGAUAUCGGAAGGAACACCAGUGGCGAAGGCGGCUUCCUGGACCAACACUGACGCUGAGGUGCGAAAGCGUGGGGAGCAAACAGGAUUAGAAACCCUAGUAGUCC